Molecule: long non-coding RNA, 613 nt
Filed under: Mytilus galloprovincialis (Mediterranean mussel)
Lineage: Eukaryota; Metazoa; Mollusca; Bivalvia; Mytilida; Mytilidae
Source: RNAcentral
GUUGCAUGUGGUCAAUGCACGAUUAUGUUUUUCUCUCUCUUAAAAAUAGUGGAAAGGGCUAAAAACUUAAAGUAACAUAGGGAUUUUUAUCGCAUGAAAGCAAGAUAACCGACUUCAUAUUUACCAACGACAGAUUGUUGGUUGACGUAAUCCUACAUUUGUAACAACAAAAUGAAUAUAAGCAUUUGAUGCAUUUUCUAAAAAAAUGUCUUCCCUUGAAAAUCCCUCGGUAUUUUUCAGCUAAUGAAACUUACGGUGUAUAUUCAUAACGCUUCCUUUCUGAUAGAAUCGGCGUUUCAGCUUCCUUUCCGAUACUUUAACGCUUCCUUUCGGAAUUCCUAUGACGACAUCGCACAGGAGCAGGAGCUAAAAAUGAAUAAUGCUGCCGUUAAGAGGUAAGUUAAAUAAAAAUAUGUAGCUCACGGAACAUUUGAAUGUUUUUUUCUAAAUUUAUACCAAGCUGAUUUCAUUAUAAAAAUAAUAUAAACCAGUUUAAAAAGUUCCACAAUCUCAGCGUCGUUGACGAUUACAGAUAAAAAUACAUUUGUUUCCUCAGAAACUUUUUAAAAAUGCAUGAAGCAUAUUGAUUCGCAAACUUUUCAUUAUAUUUUAA